Molecule: ribosomal RNA, 496 nt
Filed under: uncultured bacterium
Lineage: Bacteria
Description: partial 16S ribosomal RNA
Rfam family: Bacterial small subunit ribosomal RNA
Source: RNAcentral
AUGAACGCUGGCGGCGUGCCUAAUACAUGCAAGUCGAGCGAACAGACGAGGAGCUUGCUCCUCUGACGUUAGCGGCGGACGGGUGAGUAACACGUGGAUAACCUACCUAUAAGACUGGGAUAACUUCGGGAAACCGGAGCUAAUACCGGAUAAUAUAUUGAACCGCAUGGUUCAAUAGUGAAAGACGGUUUUGCUGUCACUUAUAGAUGGAUCCGCGCCGCAUUUGCUAGUUGGUAAGGUAACGGCUUACCAAGGCAACGAUGCGUAGCCGACCUGAGAGGGUGAUCGGCCACACUGGAACUGAGACACGGUCCAGACUCCUACGGGAGGCAGCAGUAGGGAAUCUUCCGCAAUGGGCGAAAGCCUGACGGAGCAACGCCGCGUGAGUGAUGAAGGUCUUCGGAUCGUAAAACUCUGUUAUUAGGGAAGAACAAAUGUGUAAGUAACUAUGCACGUCUUGACGGUACCUAAUCAGAAAGCCACGGCUAACUACGUG